RNAcentral lists this ribosomal RNA (1370 nucleotides) under Halogranum gelatinilyticum. Its description in RNAcentral is "bacterial LSU rRNA". It matches the Rfam family "Archaeal large subunit ribosomal RNA", at positions 1677 to 2987 of the family's 2987-position model. Lineage: Archaea; Methanobacteriati; Methanobacteriota; Halobacteria; Halobacteriales; Haloferacaceae. The record is from RNAcentral.
AGAGCAAUUCGAUGGUACCUAGAGUCCGUGAAAAGACGAGCGUGGUAUUCGUACCGAGAUCCGACACAGGUACUCUGGCAGAGCAAGCCAAGGCCCGUCGGGAGCAACCGACGUUAGGGAAUUCGGCAAAUUAGUCCCGUAAGUUCGCGAGAAGGGAUGCCUGCUCCGUAGACGAGCAGGUCGCAGUGACUUGGGCGCUCCGACUGUCUAGUAACAACAUAGGUGACCGCAAAUCCGCAAGGACUCGUACGGUCACUGAAUCCUGCCCAGUGCGGGUAUCUGAACACCUAGUACAAUAGGACGAAGGACCCGUCAACGGCGGGGGUAACUAUGACCCUCUUAAGGUAGCGUAGUACCUUGCCGCUUCAGUAGCGGCUUGCAUGAAUGGAUCAACGAGAGCGCCACUGUCCCAACGUUGGGCCCGGUGAACUGUACGUUCCAGUGCGGAGUCUGGAGACCCCCAAGGGGAAGCGAAGACCCUAUAGAGCUUUACUGCAGGCUGUCGCUGAGACAUGGUCGCUAAUGUGCAGCAUAGGUAGAAGACAUUACACAGGUACCCGCGCCAGCGGGCCACCGAGUCACCAUUGAAAUACUACCCGUUAGUGACUGUGACUCUCACUCCGGGAGGAGGACACCGGUAGCCGGGCAGUUUGACUGGGGCGGUACGCGCUCGAAAAGAUAUCGAGCGCGCCCCAAGGUUUCCUCACUCGGGUCGGAAACCCGAGGAAGAGCGCAAGAGCAAACGGAAGCCUGACAGUGUCCUACACAACGAGGGACGCUGACACGAAAGUGUGGUCUAGCGAACCUACGAAGCUGCUUGAUGCGGCUCGUAGAUGACAGAAAAGCUACCUUAGGGAUAACAGAGUCGUCACCGGCAAGAGCACAUAUCGACCCGGUGGCUUGCUACCUCGAUGUCGGUUCCCUCCAUCCUGCCUGUGCAGAAGCAGGCAAGGGUGAGGUUGUUCGCCUAUUAAAGGAGGUCGUGAGCUGGGUUUAGACCGUCGUGAGACAGGUCGGCUGCUAUCUAUUGGGGGUGUUAAGGUACUUGACGUGAACGAACGUAUAGUACGAGAGGAACUACGUUUGGGUGCCACUGGUGUACCGGUUGUCUGACAAGGCAAAUGCCGGGAAGCUACGCACCACGGGGUAAGAGCUGAACGCAUCUAAGCUCGAAACCCACAUGAAAAAGAAGUACCACCGAGGACACUCGUAGAAGACGAGUUAGAUAGACUCGGGGUGUACGCGCCGAGGCAACGAGGCGUUCAGCCCGCGAGCACUAACAGUCCAAGCCACAUUCAUACCGCAUGGGAACCCGUGUCCGUAAACGGGUCCAGGUGCUAACUGGAAUGCACGAACACAUUGGUUGUCAA